UACGUAGGUGGCGAGCGUUGUCCGGAAUUAUUGGGCGUAAAGGGCGCGUAGGCGGGAUAAUAAGUCUGUAGUGAAACUGCGGGGCUCAACUCCGUAUUGCAAUGGAAACUGUUAUUCUUGAGUGCAGGAGAGGAAAGUGGAAUUCCCAGUGUAGCGGUGAAAUGCGUAGAUAUUGGGAGGAACACCAGUGGCGAAGGCGACUUUCUGGACUGUGUCUGACGCUGAGGCGCGAAAGCUAGGGUAGCGAACG
RNAcentral lists this ribosomal RNA (250 nucleotides) under uncultured bacterium. Its description in RNAcentral is "partial 16S ribosomal RNA". It matches the Rfam family "Bacterial small subunit ribosomal RNA", at positions 524 to 774 of the family's 1533-position model. The record is from RNAcentral.